This 528-nucleotide ribosomal RNA is filed under the name uncultured bacterium. RNAcentral's name for it is "bacterial SSU rRNA". It matches the Rfam family "Bacterial small subunit ribosomal RNA", at positions 53 to 627 of the family's 1533-position model. The record is from RNAcentral.
CUUUGAAUAUCAAGCGAGCCGCAGGCUCGCUUGAUGGAGGGGAGCGGCAGACGGGUGAGUAACAUGGGAAUUUGCCCUAUGGUACGGAAUAACACAGAGAAAUUUGUGCUAAUACCGUAUGUCCUUCGGGAGAAAGAUUUAUCGCCAUAGGAUAAGCCCGCGUCCGAUUAGCUAGUUGGUGGUAAUGGCGCACCAAGGCGACGAUCGGUAGCUGGUCUGAGAGGAUGAUCAGCCACACGGACUGAGACACGGCCCAGACUCCUACGGGAGGCAGCAGUGGGGAAUAUUGGACAAAUGCGCAAGCCUGAUCCAGCCAUGCCGCGUGUGUGAUGAAGGCCUUAGGGUUGUAAAGCAUUCGCCUGCGAGGAUAAUGACGGUAGCAGGAUAAGAAAGCCCCGGCUAACUUCGUGCCCAGCCGCGGUAAUACGAAGGGGGCUAGCGUUGUUUCGGAAAUCACUGGGCGUAAAGCGCGUAGGCGGACUUUUAAGUCAGAGGUGAAAUCCUGGAGCUCAACUUCAGAACUGCCUU